This 305-nucleotide unclassified non-coding RNA is filed under the name plant metagenome. RNAcentral's name for it is "partial contains 5.8S ribosomal RNA, internal transcribed spacer 2, and large subunit ribosomal RNA". The stretch from base 1 to 105 matches the Rfam family "5.8S ribosomal RNA", at positions 50 to 154 of the family's 154-position model. The record is from RNAcentral.
GAAAUGCGAUAAGUAAUGUGAAUUGCAGAAUUCAGUGAACCAUCGAAUUUUUGAACGCACAUUGCGCCCGCCAGUAUUCUGGCGGGCAUGCCUGUUCGAGCGUCAUUUCAACCAUCAAGCCCCGGGCUUGUGUUGGGGACCUGCGGCUGCCGCAGGCCCUGAAAACCAGUGGCGGGCUCGCUGUCACACCGAGCGUAGUAGAUUCUCAUCUCGCUCAGGGCGUGCUGCGGGUUCCGGCCGUAAAACAGCCUUAUUUUACCCAAGGUUGACCUCGGAUCAGGUAGGAAGACCCGCUGAACUUAAGC